This 508-nucleotide ribosomal RNA is filed under the name Lysinibacillus sp. NF1. Its description in RNAcentral is "bacterial SSU rRNA". It matches the Rfam family "Bacterial small subunit ribosomal RNA", at positions 43 to 529 of the family's 1533-position model. Lineage: Bacteria; Bacillati; Bacillota; Bacilli; Caryophanales; Bacillaceae. The record is from RNAcentral.
CGUGCACCCGCUAUCUGCAGUCGAGCGAACUAACUAAGAGCUUGCUCCUUCGACGUUAGCGGCGGACGGGUGAGUAACACGUGUGCAACCUACCUUAUAGUUUGGGAUAACUCCGGGAAACCGGGGCUAAUACCGAAUAAUCUGUUUCACCUCAUGGUGAAACACUGAAAGACGGUUUCGGCUGUCGCUAUAGGAUGGGCCCGCGGCGCAUUAGCUAGUUGGUGAGGUAACGGCUCACCAAGGCGACGAUGCGUAGCCGACCUGAGAGGGUAAUCGGCCACACUGGGACUGAGACACGGCCCAGACUCCUACGGGAGGCAGCAGUAGGGAAUCUUCCACAAUGGGCGAAAGCCUGAUGGAGCAACGCCGCGUGAGUGAAGAAGGAUUUCGGUUCGUAAAACUCUGUUGUAAGGGAAGAACAAGUACAGUAGUAACUGGCUGUACCUUGACGGUACCUUAUUAGAAAGCCACGGCUAACUACGUGCCAGCCGCCGCAGGUAAUUACCAA